CCCAUUACUGAGCAUUUUCAGGACAACAUUAUUAGGCACAGUACGACAUUAAUGUUUAAAUAUAUAUGAAUUACCCAGGCUUAAUAUUAUAUAUUGCUCUUCUUUGUCGCCGGAGGAGCCACUAACAGCAGGCUGAAAGCCCACUGAAGUCCUGACCUUUUCUUUCCUUCUUUUCCUCAGGUGUUGAUAGGUGUAGCAAGUUAAACUGAUUCCUUGUCAGAUUCAAGGUCAUCUUGAGAACACACACUGAACAAUAUGCAGCACCAGAGGAAACUCACCAUUCAGCAGCACAAUGUUGCCGCAGAGGACACCCAAGUUCUAAAGAAGAGGGGAUACAGAAAUAGAAAUACAGAAACAUCCAAGUCCUGAAUUAAAGCACAAUUUAUUUUUUAACAUGCAAAAGACCUAUAAGAAGUAGGUGUCAAUCUGAUGAUGUACUGAUGAUGGUGUAUAUUGCAACGUCCCCUCUCCUGUAACAUCCAGUCAUCUAGGAUUAUACAGGAGUGAUCCAAACAGCACACCCGAAGGGAGAGUCACGCACAUGAGAGGAACUUUGAAUCCAUAUAGGUGAUAGAAUCUUAACUGUCAAAAAAUGUUAAGCGUGCUAAGUUUUUGUUUUGACAUCACGUAACUUUAAUUUGGUCAUGUUCCACACAUAGACAGCAAGCUCUGAUUUGUAAUAGGCAACAAGAAAAUGAGAGCAAACAAUAAACAAGCACAUAUUACAGUAAUGUAAUCAUAAAGACAUCUAAAGAAAUUAAAAGACAGAA
Long non-coding RNA from Siniperca chuatsi (mandarin fish), 770 nucleotides. RefSeq lists it as uncharacterized. NCBI's taxonomy places the organism in Eukaryota, Metazoa, Chordata, Actinopteri, Centrarchiformes, Sinipercidae. The transcript has 2 exons. The record is from RefSeq and is a predicted model, not a curated record.